Long non-coding RNA from Chinchilla lanigera (long-tailed chinchilla), 1608 nucleotides. NCBI's taxonomy places the organism in Eukaryota, Metazoa, Chordata, Mammalia, Rodentia, Chinchillidae. The record is from Ensembl.
UGUGCAACCAUCUUGCUCCCCGAGCUGGGCACCGAGCAGCGCCAGAGCGCCCGUAUUUGCAGGCUGGCGCCUCGCGGCUGGACGCAGCCGCAGACAGCCCAUCCAUCAUCCGCCUCCUCCCGCCGCGCAGCAGCCGCGGCCAAUGGGCGCCAGGUGGGGCCGCACCUGCGGGCCGCGCGCUUCCUUGUGCUCGCCGCGCCGCGCCGCGCCUCGGGGGCCAGCGGGCCCCGGAGCCACUGCGUUCUCCAAGACCAGGAUGCGACAGAUCUAGUCCGGAGGGCAUGGUCUGGGAGCUGAGUGCCAGAUGCGAGUCCCCCUUGAUCAUUUGGGACAUCACCCAGGCCAAGGAGCUGCUUUGCCAAUGCAGAAGAAAUAAUCGGAGGAAAAGUAUACCCAAGAAGAGGUCUUGCAAACAAUUCUGGGAUAAGAUGUGGCAGAACUUGAGCCUGAUCAUGGGACUCUUCUGAUUCAUCUCUUUCCGGUGCAGACUGAGAGCACUUACAAGAAUGGGAGAUAAAAGAAGGGCUUAGUCCCAAAGCCCUCUGAAAGUUUGGAUUUUGUUAAGAAAGACAAAAAGGACAUCAAUUAAAGACUGCUAUGGAGUAUAUUUCAAAUGCUCAUAUUUUUGCUCCAUUCCAGUAAAGGUUUCUCUCCAAAGAAAUUUGGUCCCGAGGAAGAAUAAAAGAAUGGAUGAUAUUUUAUUGUCUCUUGGAGAUGUUGGAAAUACUUCACUCCUACAUGUCUGGGGUUGUUUUCAUCUUGCCAAGUACUUUGAUAUUUGUGAAUAUGGCUACAUGGCUUGAAACAAGAGCAGUGAUAACUCAUACUAAUUAUUUAGCUUGUAUUUUAAUGCCUGACAAGAGAGAAAAGAACUUUUUCUUCCACGAUUCUGGUUGUAAAAAUUAAGAAGCUCAAGGGGAAGUGGAAGAUCUGUGUUCUUAAAAAGUUUCCAACUCACAGAUUUCUUGGAUCUAAACCAAUGAGAGCUUCCUGCAAAUAGGGAUCUCACCUCUGCUGACUUCUAGGCUCCGCAAAGCAGCUCAGAUUGGGGGCUGCUGCAUAAGUCCCACCACUCCCAAGCCUGUCUGCCAAUGGACAUCAGCAAUGAGUCUGGAUUAGAAAGAAGCUGAUCUGCUCCUCCCCCAUGCUCUUCUUUUCCAUUCAAGAUGAAAGUCUAACGUAUCAGCACUCCCCUUGCUACAUUCCGACAGAAGCAAUCUAAAUUAGAGUCAAGGAGUGUGAUGUUAAAUAUCUGGAAUCUCAGACAGACAAAAUGUGAUGUGCUAGAAUAUACAUGGAACAUAAUGAAAUGAUCUGGAAUACAGAAUUAAACAAUGAGGCUGGCUUAAGGGUAAGGACUAAAUAACCACGGUGCUUUAUUUGAUGCACAUGUUCCUUUGAAGUGGGUCCAAAAUAACAACUCAUUGCCUGAUCCUCAGUUUGCACCUUGGCAGGUCCAAGUAUCUUUUGAAAAUGCGAAGGGAAGCCUAGAGAGAAAACAGUCUGAUGAAGUCCAUCUCAAAGGACAGCACAGAAGAUCUUAGGAGAUGUCAAAAACACUCUGGUUAGUACUCUUUCUCUGUAAGUGCAGCUACUCUGCCAAGCUGG